UAUUAGAUAGUAAAGAUUGGAGUAAGAAAGAGACAGUCCCAUAAUCACCAGGCUGCACUUAACUAAUCUGAGUUUGCUGGACUUGUCUUUGUUCACUAGUCAAAACUUCUGAGCCAGGAAAACUCUCUAGACAGAGAAAGAGAGAGGAGGAAAAAAUGGCAAGCCAUGAGGCCUCUGGUAUCCUCUCAGAGCAUCCAUGGCCCCUAAUUAAAGGUUUGUUAAAGGGAUUUUCUUAAUCUCUCCCUCUGCCUCCUUAAGAGGCUAGGGAAUGGGAUUUCUAAGUAGAUCAGAACUGACAGGAGUCAAUGAGUCAGAGCUGAAGAUUGUUACCGGGGAGACUGGGACUGAGGGGAGGAAGUGGCCAGCCCUCUGACAGGAAGUUAGGGGGGACAGUUGGUGAGUGAGAGGAGAAAGGAAGCAGCUGCUGAUAGUUGGGGGUCUUUUGUCUUUGGGAUCUCUAGAGAGCAGGAGGUCUGUCUCUGAGGCAAGGAUUGGCUGGCAGUUGGCUACUGACAGUUUGGGCUGCUAUAGAAAACUAAUUGAAGGAGUGAGAGUGGUGACUGUCUAUUAUUGUAGGUAGUUAGGUAGUUGGUGAAUCAUUUAUAGAGCAGGUUAAGAUAGGCCUAGUAUACCAGGCAGAAGAAACUGUCCUCAGAAGACAGAGAAUCAGAGACAGUGAGAGUUGGAGAGGACAUACAUAGCCAUCUAGUCCAACCCAUCCAUGAAAGGAAUCUCUGCUAUAACAUACUUGACAAGUAAUCAUCCAGUCUCUACUUGAAGGACUCUAAGGGAAGGAAGCUCCCUGCCUCUUGAAUCAGCCCAUCCUACCUGAGUUUAUUUUGAUGUCGAAAUGCUCCAAGGAAGCAGAAGCAUUAAGAAUAAGGAAAGAGGGAGAGUUGCAGCCAAAGCAGCCAUCAUCACCCACUGGCUGUCCUCUAGGCAGGAGCCAAGUCAUGUUUCAGUCAUCAAGGAGGUGGACAGCAGGAUACCGGUGCAUCUGGGAUUGCCUCGGGGCCUCCCAGACACAUUUGGCGGGUCCCUGUUUCCCCCUUUCCCUCUUCAAGGCGCCGUAUUAUUGAAACCGAAGCCAGUGGCUGAGUAACUUCCAGGAAGCAAUUAAGGUGAAGUGAAUGGGGGCUGCUGAAGAAAAUAGGAGUUCAUGGUAGUAACAGCUAGAACAACUGGAAAGUCUCCUCUCCCACACACCUCCAAUGAUCUGCACUUCUCAAGAAACUCAGCCUUGGUGAGGAUGAUCCUGCCUCUUGAGGGUAUGACUUGGGCAUGUUAAGAACAUCCUAUCUGCAAGCCAAUAAUUGUGUUUUGCCCAGUGCCUAGAAGCACUUAGAGUCUCAUAUUCAUUAAAGUAAAAUAAAAUGUGAAUGUUAACUAGAAAUGAAGAACCA
This 1403-nucleotide long non-coding RNA is filed under the name Monodelphis domestica (gray short-tailed opossum). RNAcentral's name for it is "lncRNA (ENSMODG00000042848.1)". Lineage: Eukaryota; Metazoa; Chordata; Mammalia; Didelphimorphia; Didelphidae. The record is from RNAcentral.